This 333-nucleotide ribosomal RNA is filed under the name uncultured Methylobacterium sp. RNAcentral describes it as "bacterial SSU rRNA". It matches the Rfam family "Bacterial small subunit ribosomal RNA", at positions 1 to 359 of the family's 1533-position model. The record is from RNAcentral. Lineage: Bacteria; Pseudomonadati; Pseudomonadota; Alphaproteobacteria; Hyphomicrobiales; Methylobacteriaceae.
UUCGCCCUUAGAGUUUGAUCCUGGCUCAGAGCGAACGCUGGCGGCAGGCUUAACACAUGCAAGUCGAGCGGGCCCUUCGGGGUCAGCGGCAGACGGGUGAGUAACGCGUGGGAACGUGCCCUUCGGUUCGGAAUAACUCAGGGAAACUUGAGCUAAUACCGGAUACGCCCUUAUGGGGAAAGGCUUGACUGCCGAAGGAUCGGCCCGCGUCUGAUUAGCUAGUUGGUGAGGUUAUGGCUCACCAAGGCGACGAUCAGUAGCUGGUCUGAGAGGAUGAUCAGCCACACUGGGACUGAGACACGGCCCAGACUCCUACGGGAGGCAGCAGAAGGG